RNAcentral lists this ribosomal RNA (492 nucleotides) under uncultured bacterium. RNAcentral's name for it is "partial 16S ribosomal RNA". It matches the Rfam family "Bacterial small subunit ribosomal RNA", at positions 29 to 507 of the family's 1533-position model. The record is from RNAcentral.
AGUGAACGCUGGCGGUAGGCCUAACACAUGCAAGUCGAACGGCAGCACAGUAAGAGCUUGCUCUUACGGGUGGCGAGUGGCGGACGGGUGAGGAAUACAUCGGAAUCUACUUUUUCGUGGGGGAUAACGUAGGGAAACUUACGCUAAUACCGCAUACGACCUACGGGUGAAAGCAGGGGAUCUUCGGACCUUGCGCGAUUGAAUGAGCCGAUGUCGGAUUAGCUAGUUGGCGAGGUAAAGGCCCACCAAGGCGACGAUCCGUAGCUGGUCUGAGAGGAUGAUCAGCCACACUGGAACUGAGACACGGUCCAGACUCCUACGGGAGGCAGCAGUGGGGAAUAUUGGACAAUGGGCGCAAGCCUGAUCCAGCCAUACCGCGUGGGUGAAGAAGGCCUUCGGGUUGUAAAGCCCUUUUGUUGGGAAAGAAAAGCAGCAGGUUAAUACCCCGCUGUUCUGACGGUACCCAAAGAAUAAGCACCGGCUAACUUCGCG